This 893-nucleotide ribosomal RNA is filed under the name Hypoxylon haematostroma. Its description in RNAcentral is "partial large subunit ribosomal RNA". It matches the Rfam family "Eukaryotic large subunit ribosomal RNA", at positions 40 to 960 of the family's 3401-position model. The record is from RNAcentral. Lineage: Eukaryota; Fungi; Ascomycota; Sordariomycetes; Xylariales; Hypoxylaceae.
AUAUCAAUAAGCGGAGGAAAAGAAACCAACAGGGAUUGCCCUAGUAACGGCGAGUGAAGCGGCAACAGCUCAAAUUUGAAAUCUGGCCCUCGCGGUCCGAGUUGUAAUUUGUAGAGGAUGCUUUUGGUGCGGCGCCUUCCGAGUUCCCUGGAACGGGACGCCGGAGAGGGUGAGAGCCCCGUACGGUUGGACGCCUAGCCUAUAUAUAGCUCCUUCGACGAGUCGAGUAGUUUGGGAAUGCUGCUCUAAAUGGGAGGUAAAUUUCUUCUAAAGCUAAAUACCGGCCAGAGACCGAUAGCGCACAAGUAGAGUGAUCGAAAGAUGAAAAGCACUUUGAAAAGAGGGUUAAAUAGCACGUGAAAUUGUUGAAAGGGAAGCGUUUGCGACCAGACUUUUUCCAGGGGAAUCAUCCGGUGUUCUCACCGGUGCACUUCCCCUGGUUUAGGCCAGCGUCGGUUCUCUUAGGGGGAUAAAGGCUUGGGGAACGUAGCUCUUUCGGGAGUGUUAUAGCCCCUCGCGUAAUACCCUUCGGGGGACCGAGGAUCGCGCUCUGCAAGGACGCUGGCGUAAUGGUCGUCAACGACCCGUCUUGAAACACGGACCAAGGAGUCGAACAUUUGUGCGAGUGUUUGGGUGUUAAACCCUCACGCGUAAUGAAAGUGAACGGAGGUGAGAGCCCUCACGGGUGCAUCAUCGACCGAUCCUGAUGUCUUCGGAUGGAUUUGAGUAAGAGCAUAACUGUUCGGACCCGAAAGAUGGUGAACUAUGCGUGGAUAGGGUGAAGCCAGAGGAAACUCUGGUGGAGGCUCGCAGCGGUUCUGACGUGCAAAUCGAUCGUCAAAUCUGCGCAUGGGGGCGAAAGACUUAUCGAACCAUCUAGUAGCUGGUUACCG